The sequence is a non-coding RNA, 189 nucleotides long. It matches the Rfam family "Lysine riboswitch aptamer". Rfam says of the family: Riboswitches are metabolite binding domains within certain messenger RNAs that serve as precision sensors for their corresponding targets. Allosteric rearrangement of mRNA structure is mediated by ligand binding, and this results in modulation of gene expression.
AGUGAUGGUAGAGGCGCAAAAACCAUUAGUAAGUUCUCUCUAGAGUGAUAAGACUCGUCGACAGGAGCUGAAAGGGGAAUUUGCCGAAGUGGAAAGACGCUUAUCUGUCUGAAGCUGGAUCUGUGUUGAAUAAAUGCAGAGCUGUCAUCCAAUACCUACCCUGGAAUUGGAUGGAGAACUAUCUCACAA